RNAcentral lists this long non-coding RNA (1401 nucleotides) under Aotus nancymaae (Ma's night monkey). Its description in RNAcentral is "lncRNA (ENSANAG00000038549.1)". Lineage: Eukaryota; Metazoa; Chordata; Mammalia; Primates; Aotidae. The record is from RNAcentral.
UUUUUUUUCUCUGAAUAUUGUCCUAUCUGAUUGUGGAACCUGGAAUUUCUGAAUCAUCUUUCUAUCAGUUUAUGGAUGAAGUCAUCCCAAAGUGUCCCUUCAGCAUUGACAGAUGGAAGGGAAUGAAUGGAGAGGAAGAAGGCAAAGGACUGGACUCUAGAGAACCUCAACACCUGGUAGGUGCUGUGAAAAGAGGAAUCUCAGAAAAGAAAAUAUCAAUCAAAGGUACAGAGAUGAACCAGAAUAACAGUUAGAAAAACUAAAAAAUAAAGAACUUCAAGAAAAAUGUCACGGCCAAUAUCAUCCUGCUGUUGAAUGGGCUUAUCAGGUAAGGUCUGAGCAGAGACUAUACAGUCUGAAGCAAAAGCAGUUGCAGUGAAAUGAUGGUGCUGAAACCUGAUUUCUAAAGCUUGAGAGACAGAGAGGCAUUAGACUGUGUAAGGAGACCAUAGGAGAAGCUGAGUACAUUUUCAGAGAGUUUUCUAGUGAAGCAGGGGAAGAAAAGUCACUAAGUAAAGUUGUUAUUUUUUUUUUUUUUUUUUUUUUUUUUUUUUUUUACAGGGAAUAAUUCAGGGUGAGGGAAACCUAUGGGUAAAAGUGAUAAAGUCACAAAAGAAGAGAUAUUAUGGAACUGUGACAACUUUGAACAGGAUUUAUAUGCUCUGACUCAGCCUGAUCUCCAUCAGGAAUACCUGUGGCCCUGGUCACUGCCUGAGUUGUCGAUGCAUGCUCAAUUAGAUGCAUUUACAACUUCAUGCACAACUGAAGGCCUCUGUUGUAAGUGUGACUAUAAUUACCUGGCAGACAAUCCCGACACCAAUUUAGCAGCCAAACAUGGACAUACGUUAUCUCCAUUUUCAAGGCUCUUAAUAACUAGCAUUUACUGAGAAUAUACUUUAUGCUACACACUGUUAAUUAUUUUGCAUGCAUUAGCUACUUACAUCUUUGUAACUAUCCCAUGAAUUAGGUAUACUCUUUUUCUCUUUAACAGAACAGAGAUUUGAGGCCCAUUCAGAUUAACUUGCUCACAGUUGUGAAAGUCCUAUGACUAGAAUUUGAUGCCAUAUCAGUCUGACUUCAAGAGAUUAAGCUCUUAACCCCUAUGUAUGCUGCCUCUCAAUAAAAUGCCUCACACUUGCUUCUUUUCUUUGCUUUUACUAUUGAGCAGAAAGAAAAAAAUACAACUUAUUAAAAAGUAUAAUCUAAGAAUUCCUGAUGUCUGUAAAGUUAGUAUAAAAUAACUUCGAAUUUAACAAUUGUAACUAAUAAAUAAACCAGGCAAGCACACUAAAGAUGAGUUGUACGCAUUUUGCCAAGACAAUACAUUAAAAAAUCAUAAAAUAAAAAGUUCUUAACCAUAUAUAUGAAAUGCACAUUAUAGCAUUCUUUUUUCAAGAAAAA